CACUGGAAACGGUGGCUAAUACCGGAUGUGCCGAAAGGUGAAAGAUUUAUUGCCUAGAGAUGAGCUCGCGUCUGAUUAGCUAGUUGGUGUGGUAAGAGCGCACCAAGGCGACGAUCAGUAGCUGGUCUGAGAGGAUGAUCAGCCACACUGGGACUGAGACACGGCCCAGACUCCUACGGGAGGCAGCAGUGGGGAAUUUUCCGCAAUGGGCGAAAGCCUGACGGAGCAAUACCGCGUGAGGGAGGAAGGCUCUUGGGUUGUAAACCUCUUUUCUCAGGGAAUAAGAAAGUGAAGGUACCUGAGGAAUAAGCAUCGGCUAACUCCGUGCCAGCAGCCGCGGUAAUACGGAGGAUGCAAGCGUUAUCCGGAAUGAUUGGGCGUAAAGCGUCCGCAGGUGGCACUGUAAGUCUGCUGUUAAAGAGCAAGGCUCAACCUUGUAAAGGCAGUGGAAACUACAGAGCUAGAGUACGUUCGGGGCAGAGGGAAUUCCUGGUGUAGCGGUGAAAUGCGUAGAGAUCAGGAAGAACACCGGUGGCGAAAGCGCU
Molecule: ribosomal RNA, 545 nt
Filed under: uncultured Anabaena sp.
Lineage: Bacteria; Bacillati; Cyanobacteriota; Cyanophyceae; Nostocales; Nostocaceae
Description: bacterial SSU rRNA
Rfam family: Bacterial small subunit ribosomal RNA
Source: RNAcentral